AAAAAUCACAGAAGCUCUAGAGUAGAGUAGAGUAGAGUAAUUGACGCUAGCACGUAGGUUGGUGUAGAAGUAAACACAGAGAUAACUAAGUAUAUAUUGAAGUCUCGUCACCAGAAUGCAGGGCAAAAUCGUAACGUAAGGGUUGCUAAUGAAUCCUGUGUAAAAGCGGCAAAGAUAAGGUAUUUGAGAGCGACAGUAACAAAUGAAAAAACGAUUAGUGAGGAAAUUAAAAGCAGAUUAAUUUCGGGUAAUAGUUGCUACCAUUUAGUUCAGAACCCUUUCCAUUUGCUGUCUAAAAACAUAAAGAUUAAAAUAUAGGAAACUAUUUUCCAGUAGUUUUGUAUGAAUGUGAAAUUUGGUCUCUGACGCUAAGGGAAGAAACUGAGGGUGUUUGAGAACAGGGAGAAUAGUUGGACCACGAUGAAUAAAAUACUAGGAGGUUGAAGAAAUUUGCAUUAUGAGGAGCUACAUAAGUUUUACUUCACACCAAAUACGAUUAGACUGCUCAUGUUAAGGAGGAUGCGAUGGUCAGGGCAUGUAGCCUGCAUGGGAGAAAAGAGGAAUACAAAUAGGGUUUUGGUCGCGAAAAGGAAAGAGACAACAAGGAAGACCUAAACAUAGGUGGGAGGAUAAUAUUAAAAUGGAUCAUAGAGGAAUAGGGUGGAGUGGUAUGGGCUGGAUUCAUCUGGCUCAGGAUAGGGACCAGUGGCAGGUUCUUGUGAAGAUGCUGAUGAACCUUCAAGUUCAAUAAAGUGUUGGGAACAUCUUGAGUGACUGAUGGCUUCUCAUGAAGGACUCAGCACCAUGAAACACAGUCGUAGUGGAUUUCCCCGCCGCAAACCUUGAUCUGUCUCACCAUACUGAUCAAGGUACGGAGGAGACAUGAAGCAGCCUCUACUUGGACUGGCGAGGAGAAGAAUCUCACAUUCUCGCACCCGGAGAAAUAUUCCAACUCCAGCACCACAUUCAUGGGCAUGAUCAGAAGGCAGGCCCGUAGUAUACUCCAGAGUAAGCAACUGAUAUGCGUACUUCAGCACAGCCGUGAAUGCAGCUCGGGCUCGCUCGGUGAGAUCGUCCGGCAGAUGAUGUCCAGCUGGAUCUGGUCUUAUUUC
Zootermopsis nevadensis is the source of this 1112-nucleotide non-coding RNA. Lineage: Eukaryota; Metazoa; Arthropoda; Insecta; Blattodea; Termopsidae. The record is from RefSeq and is a predicted model, not a curated record.